AAAAACAAAAAAACUAUACCUGUCUCCUCCUAUGUCGCUGCUGCGCCGAAACAGAUCCAGAGAGAAGUGAGGGGGAUGGGCUGCUCAUGAGCGAGAGCUCGGUGAGGGAGGAGACGGGGAGAGGAACCGCUCAAGCGCAGGAGAAGAGGUCGACGACGAGGGGAACCGCUCAAGCGGACGAGAAGAGCUCGAAGAAGAGGGGAACGCUUCCUCGCAUGGUACAGCCGCAAGGGUGGAAAUAAGAUGGCACAUGAUUGGGAAACAAAAUUGAGACCAUUCGUUGAGCAGUGGAGAACAGCAAGCUCGGUUCACUGGCACGAGGAGGCGCUCUUUGACCUAGCUGCACACGAGGCUUACCUAUGGUGUGGUCACAAAUGAGAUUCUGCUACAUACCAAGAGCUGACCCUGAGGACAUGGAGACGGCUCAGACUUCAGCUUCGGAGACGCACUACAGUUCUUCCGUGACUAGCGUCAUAGAUCACUCGGGAAUUUGCAAGCCCAGUUGACGCUGGAGGCUCAAGAAGAGACUGCCGCGAUAGUUAACCGACUGACCAUGGGGAACGAAAUGACUCCGUCCGAGAAUCUAGCAGCAUGGCAGUGUAUUGAGAGCAAGCCGCGGAGGAUCUUGGAGACUUUGAGGCAUACCAUCAGACAACCUGCCUAGUUGCGAAGCACACACUCCCCCAUGCCCCUCACACCGUGCUAGGCCGGCGUUCCAGCCGACUCCGAUGGCGUGGCGGCAGCCAACUGUCCGGCUGCUGCCUCCACCUUCCGCAGUCCGGUGGCUCCUCCUGGUAGCACCAGCCUCUCCCUCCCCCUGCACAGCUCUCAGUGAUGAUGACAACAGGUUCACCAGAUACUCCACCACCGCCGGCCACACAGGCCAUUCUGGUCAUGCCACCUCCAGCGCAAUCCCAUACCCGCAAGAGACAUCGCCGUCCUACUCGUAGUCAUAGAGUUGCUGCGCAGGGUCGUGGACAGGGAAGACAUGAGGAUGAUACGGUUAGAGGACAGACAGACGGUUAGCGAUGUCCCACUAUAUGAUUUGACUUUCUUGACUUCAUUAUAUCCAUAUA
Long non-coding RNA from Triticum aestivum (bread wheat), 1076 nucleotides. RefSeq lists it as uncharacterized. The transcript is spliced from 4 exons. Lineage: Eukaryota; Viridiplantae; Streptophyta; Magnoliopsida; Poales; Poaceae. The record is from RefSeq and is a predicted model, not a curated record.